ACUUGUGUUACUCCCACAAAACAAUUUGGUUUUCCUCACACACCCCCCUGCCCUGUUUCCUUUGCUCCAUUCCUCUUGUGACUUGGGUUUAAACCCUUUCAAACACUUGCAGAUUGGAGACUCGGAAGCUUUGCAAACCCCAAAAGGUCCACAGAUUCCAUAAUGGUCACAUGGAUUCUUUGGGGCCUCCCAGUCAAGAUUCCAGUUCUCACCAUGUUCGGAAUACAUAAGCUUUAGUGUACCUUGAUAAGAGAUUUCCAUAUAUGCCAGAGUUCUGUUAAAGAAAAAAGAGAAAUACUUUGUUCCCUGCUGCACAUUAUCAUCUAGAUUUAAUCCACUUAGAUAUUCAUCAUUCAUUCCUGGUAUGCCGAGGAACUUUGUUUUGUCCCAUGGCCCACUUCUCCAGUAGGGAGUUGAUCCAUUAAUCCAAAUGAACAUUUGUGUUGGGAUCUGUGGUGCCAAUCCAACCGAGAACAACCCGGUUGAUCCAUCACUCUCACUUUUCCAGGCAGUCAAGACAUCCCUCUUUCCAGAUUUGUUAUCGAAUCCCAGCAACAUCUUUGGUAGAAGUGUGUCACCAGGAUAAUCAAAGCUCCUCCAUAAUUGAGCUCCUAUAUCAUCUUGGACAACAAAGUUUCCACUGUCUAAAAGAAGUGCAGCUGAACCAUUAGAUGGCACUAAAAUAUUGGUUGACCAAAUACAACUCUGUUUCCCAUCUACAAGCUCCAGGUUCCCAUUGCUGUUAAUUGUCAAACUAGCCAAUGUGUCUGUAACUGAAAGAGCCUUUUCUCUGUUGGCCACCCAAACAACUUUGCGGGGAAAUAUAGUCUUGUGCCAUAUCCCCACAUACUUGUUAGCAGAAUUAUUAGGACUGAAGAAGCCCAAUUCGAAAAUGUGGCCUGGGGAGACAAGAGUUUGUCCCUCUGCUAAUGGUUGUGAAGAAGUUAUGUUAUAAACUUCUGCACAAUAAUGCUGUGACAGAAACCAAUUGAAAAAGAAUAGGAUGAAGAUGGAGGGAUUAAAAGCAUGAAAAGUUUCAGUUCUCUUACCCAUUUCAAGCUUGUUAAUCUCCCUGCCCAACACGAGGUAUCUAAUUGUCAACCAAAACAAUAUUGCAUGUGGUUUUGGGCCAAUCAAUCAAUCAAUCUCUCUCUCUCUCUCUCUCUCUCUCUCUCUCUUUAUAAUAACAUCACAAACAAAUUAGCUAGUGUUCCUCUCUGGUUGGGGCCUGCCUUACUGACCAGCGAAAAGAAAAAGUAGUCAUGCGCAGAAAGCUACUUUUAAUACUAAACAAAAUAGCUUAUAGGACCACCUACGAAUAAUCUUCCUCACCCCGAAACUCAGAUUGACUAAAUAUAUAAAUUUGGGUAUCUAUAAAGAAAUCACAGAAGAAAGAAAAACGUCGGGAAAACAAACAGUUGGUGGGAAGCUGCUACGAACCUCAAAUUUACAGCAGCCAAACAAAGUCGGAGCUUUGUCUCCAUUUUUCCACAGAACCGUAUUAACAAGUUACAGAAACCAAUCUUUGACAUGGUCAUGAGGCAAGCGGGGGUGUUUCGAAAAUUCAGAAAGCUUUAUAAUCAAUCUCCAGGUCAACAGUCAAGAAUCAUGUUAGUCAAUAAUGUUGAAAAGACAAAAAGAUCAAGGCUUUUUUAGCUCAUAACAACCCAACUUCAAUUUGAAAGAUAAAGUUUUGUUAUUGCUGUCACAUAUUAUGUGUUAGACAAUCACAAUUUGUCUGAAAAAUAACAAGGGAAGUGGAGUUGAACCCAAAAAACCACGUUUUUCUUUACCUUUUAAUAAUAGCAUAAGAUAUUUGAACACAUACAAAACAUAUGUAUCAAAUCUAAUAAUAGCAUAGGCUAGCAUUGGAUCAGGACAUUAAAGGGAUGUUAUACUACUAACACCCGUCUUAUAAUGUUUUUUUGGCGCAUUUUAGCAAAAUAUCCCAUGAAAGGAAAACCUUCAUUCACUAUACCAAAAGGAAAACUUCAGAAUGGCCAAAAGUCAGUAGAUGCAAAAAUUUGCAAUUUCUUAUCGUCCUUGAAGAAGUGUUAUGGUAUCUUCAUUUGCAGAGCAAAUAUUGUCAAACUGUGGUUGUGGAUCAGAGACUGAGCUUUGGGAAGUAAAAAUAGGCCGCUUAGGUUGUGGGCGAUCUGUCUCCCUACUCAGCAUGAAAACUACAUCUGGCAUGGUUGGCCUAUCUGCAGCAUUGUCCUGUACACAAAGAAGCCCAAUGUGCACACAUCUCAUCACUUCUGUUGACGAAUAUGAAUCUGCCAAAACUUCAUCAACCAAGUCCAAUCCCCUGCCUUCAUUCCAUGAGUGCCAUGCCUGAAAAAGUUUCAUAUAUGUUGGCUACAAUUGUUAGACUCUGUUGUAUUUAGCUUCAUAUAGAUUGUUUGACAAUUUAUAAGAGUUUAGAGUGUGAACUUACAUAAUCUAUGAAGCCUAGCUGUUGGUCAUGGUAAUAGAAGCUGGUAUUUUUCCUGCCACCAACAAUCUCCAACAGCAAGACUCCAAAGCUAUAUAUAUCGGAUUUUUCAGAAAAUAUCCCGCGCAUGGCAUACUCCGGAGACAUAUAGCCACUGUACAGGAAAUUCAUUAUCCACUAACUUAUUAUUAUUCCUGAUAACAUGCUAAAAAGCAUUGGAAAUUUAGUUGGUUAAUAACAAUUCUGAUAAUAGGGAAGAAAUGAUUCUUACAGAGUUCCCACAACCUUCUGAGUGUUUGCUAGAUUCUGUGUCCCUUCAAAGAUACGUGCCAGUCCAAAAUCCGAAAUUUUUGGGCUCAUCUUCUCAUCCAACAGAAUAUUACUUACCUUCAAAUCUCUAUGUAUUACCUUCAAACAUGAAUCAUAGUGGAGAUAAAGAAGUCCUCUAGCAACACCUUGAAUAAUAUUGAAGCGUUUAGCCCAAUCAAGCUCUGCUCUUCUCAUUGGACCUAAUCAAUUCACCCAUUUGAAAUGAAAUCAGUAGUGUCAUUCAUAUAUUUGGUGCAUAGUUCAAUGAAAACAAUGAUUUAAUUGCUAUAAAAUAGAGACACAGUUGUAAGAACACUAGUAAGCAGCGCUUAAACAGGUAGGUGUGAUAUACUGAAGAGCUAAACUGUACUCAAAGAUUGUGCAUAUCAGUUAAUAGUUCCCCUGAGCUCCACAUUCUAGGAAAAGCUCAUAGAUUACCAGUGAUAUUGAAGAAAGAUAUGUAACAAUGGGAAAUUGCAGCCUAACAUAAAGGGCCAGUGAAACUUACUGAACAAAAGAGUAUCCAAGCUUUUGUUUGGCAUGAACUCAUAAAUUAGUAGCUUCUCAUCAUCUUUAAUGCAGCAACCCAUGAGCCUUACAAGAUUCUUAUGUUGGAGUUUGGAGAUCAACAGCAUCUCAUUCUUGAACUCUUCUAUGCCUUGUACUGAGCUACUAGAUAGUCUUUUUACUGCUAUUUCCUUCCCUUCUUGUAGCUUACCCUACACAAGGUCCACAAAUUAAUCAUUGCAUUCAUGUCUGUAUCAUUAUAUAUAUCCUUCGAAAAGAAAAAAAAGAAAGAAAGAAUAAUCACCCUAUAUACAGGCCCGAAUCCUCCUUCUCCGAGUUUGUUUGUGAUGCUGAAAUUGCUCGUAGCAAUUAAUAUGGUAUCAAAAUCAUAGAUUACUAGCUCUGAUGGAUCAUGUUUUCUUAUAUAUUCAUGAAGAAGAGCGUCUCUUGAAGUCUCAAUCAUAUCAGCCAUUUCAGAGUCCUUAGGUGUUACUUUGACGUUUCCUGAUUUGCAAAUAUAGCAACCAAACUCGAAGUCAGAGAAAAACAAAAAAGCAGUAAAUAUGCUCUUAUAAUGUAAUGCAUUGAAGUUAUAUUGUUUUGAUUAAUACUUCAAACAGAGGAAGGGUGAGAUCAUGGGCUAAUGCAUUAAUUGCAUCCCUCCACCUCAUUCUCUUACUCUUUUGGUUAGAUCGCAAUCUGUGCAAGCUAAACACUAUGCCAGCCAAGAUACUGAUAAAACAAACAGCUAUGAGGCUGACCAUUAUCUUUAUUUGCUUUCUUUCACCUGAAAAAAUGAAUUUGUGUCACAUAAAGUAGGUGACAGAGAAAAGAAAAGAUACUGCUAAUUAGAGUUGUGCAAGCAAUAUUAUCACUUACCUAAUUCUGCAUGUGCUAGGCGAAUAAAAAGAUCGUCUCCACCAGAGGCAAACUCUUGAAUAUCAAUAAGGUCUUUGGACCAGACCAAACACCCUAUAUUGUUAAUAUGUGUAUAAGCCAGGCAAGAACAAUUACCUACGCACUGUACCUUGCAGUCUUCAGCACCCAAAUUCGAAAUAUACUCAUGAAAAUCUGGUAGGUUUACCUUUGACAUUUUCAAAAACCCAUCUUGUUUUCCUCUCAGAGGAACUGAGUUACUUGUGUUACUCCCACAAAACAAUUUGGUUUUCCUCACACACCCCCCUGCCUUGUUUCCUUUGCUCCAUUCCUCUUGUGACUUGGGUUUAAACCCUUUCAAACACUUGCAGAUUGGAGACUCGGAAGCUUUGCAAACCCCAAAAGGUCCACAUAUUCCAUAAUGGUCACAUGGAUUCUUUGGGGCCUCAAAGUCAAGAUUCCAGUUCUCACCAUGUUCGGAAUACAUAAGCUUUAGUGUACCUUUAUAAGAGAUUUCCAUAUAUGCCAGAAUUCUGUUCAAGAAAAAAGAGAAA
RNAcentral lists this long non-coding RNA (4680 nucleotides) under Prunus persica (peach). Its description in RNAcentral is "long non-coding RNA (PPER_LNC003967)". Lineage: Eukaryota; Viridiplantae; Streptophyta; Magnoliopsida; Rosales; Rosaceae. The record is from RNAcentral.